UAUAAAAUCACUGAGAAGUGGAAAGGACCAUAUCGAGUCAUUUUAACAACCCUUAUAGCAGUAAAGGUCUGGGAGAAGAACCUUGGCUUCAUUAUUCAAGAAUAAAGAAAGCACCAACAAGAAACCGGAAGUCUAAAGAAACUGGCCCUUUAAAACUGAAAAUCUAUAAAAAUCUCCCUUGUGGCCUCGCUGGUGGACCUGGGUAAAUCGAAAAGAUGAUACCUGGCAAUGGCCAAGUCUUAGAACUAAAAUAAGAUGGGUAUUAAAAUCUGUAUUUUGACCCCAGUUAACAACUCUUCCAAAUCAGAUGACUCUUGACAUCUUUCAUUC
Haliaeetus leucocephalus (bald eagle) is the source of this 330-nucleotide long non-coding RNA. RefSeq lists it as uncharacterized. The transcript is spliced from 2 exons. The record is from RefSeq and is a predicted model, not a curated record. NCBI's taxonomy places the organism in Eukaryota, Metazoa, Chordata, Aves, Accipitriformes, Accipitridae.